RNAcentral lists this ribosomal RNA (324 nucleotides) under uncultured eukaryote. Its description in RNAcentral is "partial 18S ribosomal RNA". It matches the Rfam family "Eukaryotic small subunit ribosomal RNA", at positions 1470 to 1796 of the family's 1831-position model. The record is from RNAcentral.
CCCUUAGAUGCUCUGGGCCGCACGCGCGCUACACUGGUCGAUGCAACGAGUUUCUUUCCUUGGCCGACAGGCCUGGGCAAUCUUUGAACAUCGAUCGUGAUCGGGAUAGAUUCUUGUAAUUUUUGAUCUUAAACGAGGAAUUCCUAGUAAACGCAAGUCAUCAGCUUGCAUUGAUUACGUCCCUGCCCUUUGUACACACCGCCCGUCGCACCUACCGAUUGAAUGGUCCGGUGAAAUCUCCGGACUGGCGUGAGUCGGAGCAAUCUGACAAACACCGGAAAGUUGAUUAAACCUUACCAUUUAGAGGAGGGUGAAGUCGUAACA